Molecule: microRNA precursor, 98 nt
Filed under: Prunus dulcis (almond)
Lineage: Eukaryota; Viridiplantae; Streptophyta; Magnoliopsida; Rosales; Rosaceae
Description: sRNA ncRNA
Source: RNAcentral
UUGUCCGUAUUUUUCUAGAUGUUCCUCUCAACAUUUUCUUUAUUUCUUUAUUGCGAUUAAAUUGUUGAGACAAACAUCUAGAAAAAUGCGGGCAAUAA